UCAAGAGUCUAAGUCAAGAGGACAAAGUAAGAACUAGGGAAUAUCCAUAAACAAUGUAAGAGUAAUUAGUGUUUGGCAUAGGAGACCUUUGUGGUUAGUAAGAUGCCAAAGGAUCCAAGGACCAUAGGAUACCCUUGAGGUACGUUAGAUACCAAAGGAUCUUAGGACCAAGGAUCAUGUGUGUAAAAAUCAAUGAAAGGAAGUUAUUUUGUAGGUGUGAGCUAAAUUCCUCCACCCUUAAUUGCGUUUAGUAGUCAAGUGGAUUAACUUCACUCACACGCAAUUUUUAUAAACCCUAAGUUCAUUCAUAAACCCUAAGUUCAUCCAAAAAUCCUAAGUUCAUCCAAAAACCCUAAGUUCAUCCAGAAACCCUAAGUUCAUUCAUCCUAAAUUUCCCUUCAUCAAUCAUCCAUCCCUUAAAUCUCAUUCAUCCUAUAACAUUCAUUCAUUCAAAGUUUGUUCAUCUAAUUUUCAUCUAAAGAUUCAUUCAUCCAACCAUAAGUCAACUUAUCAUCCAACUGACAAUUCGUGCAAUUGACCUAAUUCAUCCAAGAUUCAUCCUAAAAAUUAAAGAAAAUUAGAAGUCGCCACCUUUCAAGUCAUGGUAGCAACCCCCUUGCACGAAUUCCACUACAAUGGUUGCAUCACUAACUUGUUUACAACAAGCUUUGCUAUUUUAGAAAGUAGACUUACAAGCGCUUGUCCUCCAACAAAAUUCAAUGCAAAACAACAAUUAAGCUAAGAGAAAUCUUGCCUCAAAGUUGCCUGACUUUCUCGGCCUAGUCAGAGCACCCCUGGCCACAAAAACCCUUGCCCUUUCUCCAUUCCAGUUGUGCAAUGCAUAUGCUUUAGCAUUCCAGAAACUAGAAUUAAAGCCGCAUCACCUCCAACAAUUUUUUCUUGAAAAUCUUGAGUGAAUUCCAAGAUAUGACCUUCCAAAGUAGCUUGAGUUGGCAGAGUGCUACAUCUUCACCACGGCCGACUCCUCUUCACUCCAACCACCAUAACUUCCUUGGCCUUUACUCAAUCUAAGCGUGCAAAUAGUCCUUGCAAAGCUGACAACAAGAACCAUCCCCCACAAAAGUUUCAGCUCCAAAUUCAAUACUGUCCGCCAACACUCGCCUUCCAAAGUCGGACCUCCAGAUCUGGCCGGCAGCUGACCUCCUUGUCACUAAAACCACCACAACUUUCUUGUUUUCUCUCCAAACAAAGCGUGCCUACUGUCCCGAGGAAGCUAACGACAAGAUCUAAGUAUUGGUAAGAUUUGACGUUCUAUUUCCAGAUAACUAAUACACUACAGCUGUGCAAUUGCAGCUCUAUAGAAACAAGGGUACGUGGGGAUGCAAUUUGGCACGGCUUCGCCCCAAAAAAAAAAAAAGAGAGAGAGAGAGCGAGUGUGGCCACCCCCACCCUCUUAUCCAAGUAAGAAGAGACCAAAGGGUGGCGGCC
This 1449-nucleotide long non-coding RNA is filed under the name Physcomitrium patens. RNAcentral describes it as "long non-coding RNA (PPAT_LNC011736)". Lineage: Eukaryota; Viridiplantae; Streptophyta; Bryopsida; Funariales; Funariaceae. The record is from RNAcentral.